Molecule: ribosomal RNA, 237 nt
Filed under: uncultured bacterium
Lineage: Bacteria
Description: partial 16S ribosomal RNA
Rfam family: Bacterial small subunit ribosomal RNA
Source: RNAcentral
CCGGCACGGGUGAGUAACACGUAUCCAACCUGCCGUCUACUCUUGGACAGCCUUCUGAAAGGAAGAUUAAUACAAGAUGGCAUCAUGAGUCCGCAUGUUCACAUGAUUAAAGGUACUCCGGUAGACGAUGGGGAUGCGUUCCAUUAGAUAGUAGGCGGGGUAACGGCCCACCUAGUCUUCGAUGGAUAGGGGUUCUGAGAGGAAGGUCCCCCACAUUGGAACUGAGACACGGUCCAA